UGGGGAAUCUUGGACAAUGGGGGCAACCCUGAUCCAGCCAUGCCGCGUGAGUGAUGAAGGCCUUAGGGUCGUAAAGCUCUUUCGCCUGUGAAGAUAAUGACGGUAGCAGGUAAAGAAACCCCGGCUAACUCCGUGCCAGCAGCCGCGGUAAUACGGAGGGGGUUAGCGUUGUUCGGAAUUACUGGGCGUAAAGCGCACGUAGGCGGACCAGAAAGUUGGGGGUGAAAUCCCGGGGGCUCAACCCCGGAACUGCCUCCAAAACUAUUGGUCUAGAGUUCGAGAGAGGUGAGUGGAAUUCCAAGUGUAGAGGUGAAAUUCGUAGAUAUUUGGAGGAACACCAGUGGCGAAGGCGGCUCACUGGCUCGAUACUGACGCUGAGGUGCGAAAGUGUGGGGAGCAAACAGGAUUAGAUACCCUGGUAGUCCACGCCGUAAAACGAUGAGUGCUAGUCGUCGGCAGGCAUGCCUGUCGGUGACGCAGCUAACGCAUUAAGCACU
Molecule: ribosomal RNA, 497 nt
Filed under: uncultured bacterium
Lineage: Bacteria
Description: bacterial SSU rRNA
Rfam family: Bacterial small subunit ribosomal RNA
Source: RNAcentral